AGGGCACCUGUAGUGGGGGGGGAAAUGAAGCUAUAAAUAUAAUAACAUUCUGGGUCGGAUCAUGUAAUCAGACUUGUGUCUUUGCACACAUGCAUACAGCAACAGUCCCGUGCAUUCACAGAGAUUUGCAUAUACUGUACAUUGUGUUCACACAUACUAUGACUGCAGUUUCAUUCAUAAACGGACGUUCAGUCCACGUUGGUCUGGUGAGCCACGUAUUGAUCCCACAUUCUGUUUCCAAUCCAAGCAAAGCAAAUGUUCACAUGGUGUCCAUGCAGAUUAUUGCAGACAUAGAUUAUAAUAUACAUUAUAUAAUGUAUAUUACUGUAAAUAAUAUACAUCAUGAGAAUAGUAUUCACAUAUUGAUGGUUUUUGUUUUGUUUCAUUUGUUUGUUGAAGAAUCCCAAACCAAGAAAGUGUUCUCUCCUCUUUCCACAGCGUCACCUUGAUCUUCACUUGAGCAUGAAACCCUUUCUGCCCCACAUUUGAAAGCAAACGAUGGAGAGCACGGUGAGAAGUAGCCACUCUGCGGCAAUGAUGCCCUGCACAGCACUCAAUCCCAGUGCCAGGCCAGUGAGGGUGCAGCCUCCGGGGCUUCGAUGCUCCUGACCAAGCCUUCGCAGACGAAUACCUUGCACCAACAAACAUGAAAAACAGACAGCAAAGAAGAGGCCCCACAGGGCUCUACGGACCAGACAUAAUAUCUGAUCUUGUGUGAUCAGGUAAGCAAAGCUCAGGCCAAAUAAGCCAAGCACGCCGAGGAGCAGCAGGAGGAUUGGUCCCACGCCGCUGCGCUUCUCAGCCUCACUGAUGUGGCUUAAACGGCCCAGCAGGACUAGGACUAUUAUGAUGCUAACUAAUGUCCCAGCAGCAGCCAGAGCUUCAACAGCUAUACCCCACAUUGCGUCCAUGUCACAGAGGAGGAUGUAGGGUUCCUUAAAGCCGAUGCCACAGCCCCUUGGAGUGACCUCAUUAGUGGCAUCUUGACUCCUGGCAUGAUGAGCAACAGUCAGCAGCAGCAGGACAAUCGGGAGGAACGCCAUUUCUAAGAGAUGAACAGUACAGAUGACAAAGAGGGAGAUGAUGAGCGCAAAAAUGGAAACAUCAAAUAAAUUGAUAAGGGUAAUAUAAAAAAGA
Long non-coding RNA from Solea senegalensis (Senegalese sole), 1137 nucleotides. RefSeq lists it as uncharacterized. The record is from RefSeq and is a predicted model, not a curated record. Lineage: Eukaryota; Metazoa; Chordata; Actinopteri; Pleuronectiformes; Soleidae. The transcript has 2 exons.